Molecule: ribosomal RNA, 440 nt
Filed under: uncultured bacterium
Lineage: Bacteria
Description: partial 16S ribosomal RNA
Rfam family: Bacterial small subunit ribosomal RNA
Source: RNAcentral
CCUACGGGUGACAGCAGUAGGGAAUCUUCCACAAUGGGCGAAAGCCUGAUGGAGCAACGCCGCGUGGGUGAAGAAGGUCUUCGGAUCGUAAAACCCUGUUGUUAGAGAAGAAAGUGCGUGAGAGUAACUGUUCACGUUUCGACGGUAUCUAACCAGAAGGCCACGGCUAACUACGUGCCAGCAGCCGCGGUAAUACGUAGGUGGCAAGAGUUAUCCGGAGUUAUUGGGCGUAAAGGGAACGCAGGCGGUCUUUUAAGUCUGAGGUGAAAGCCUUCGGCUUAACCGGAGUAGUGCAUUGGAAACUGGGAGACUGGAGGGCAGAGGAGGAGAGUGGAACGCCAUGUGUAGCGGUGAAAUGCGUAGAGAUAUGGAAGAACACCAGUGGCGAAAGCGGCUCUCUGGUCUGUAACUGACGCUGAGGUUCCUUGACCCCGGUAGUC